CCAAGAGAAAGUCUGGUUGGAAGAAAAGGAAUAAAUUUGCUAAUAGGUAGAAGAAAAAGAGCAAGUCAAAGAAUAUUUCAAAAAAGACUGAAGCAAAGUAAAAGUAUUUUCACUGUGAUGCUGAAGGCCACUAGAGGAGGAACUAUCCACUUUACCUUGAAAGCCUAAAGAUCAAAAAGAGUGAUAAACUUUCAAAAGGUAUGCUCGUAAUAG
This 213-nucleotide long non-coding RNA is filed under the name Elaeis guineensis (African oil palm). Its description in RNAcentral is "long non-coding RNA (EGUI_LNC061345)". The record is from RNAcentral. Lineage: Eukaryota; Viridiplantae; Streptophyta; Magnoliopsida; Arecales; Arecaceae.